CCUACCGCUGCACCUCCUACACGUCUCCACGUGCCCACUGCUGAAGAGAUGGCGUUUCAAUGCGAAACAGAGCACACAAACCACACAAAACUGCGUCCCCUCGCGAAAAAAGAAAUCACCCGAUGAGGCUUUCUCUCUCUCUCUCCAGGGUUUUGUGCACACACGCACAUAAACACCGCCGCCAUCCCUCUGCACCGCGCAGGGCCAUCAUUGGCUUCCCCACCCUUUAGCACAUCAUCUCUGCCAUUACAACACGAUGCCAAAGUGCGACGCCGUAUUUGUGAGCCUGAUGUCGCACGACGUCGCUCGUCGUCCGGCCGUAAAGAUGCAAGAGGGCGGCAGCAUAGAAUCAGCUCGGCAUCCGCACGACAAGGGUUGAUUGCCUCGGCAACGGCGGGAAGGCCGACUUUAUCCUCGACUGCCGACGCCCCUGGAGGCGGUGGUGGUGGUGGGGGGAAUCGACUGCUCCCUCGUGCAGUUCAGCGACGCGCGCGCCAAGUCCGCCACGAUCUUGCCGGUUUGCUCCAACGGCGGACACCCCUGCCUGCACUACCGCGGCGCGUUUGACGAGGUCUUCGUGACGGAAGAGGAGCUCGACAGUGUGCUGAAUUGCAAGUGCUUUUACCACACCGGCACAGGCUUGCCGGAGGCGGCGGCCAAGGUGCGUCGCGUGGUGACCUGCGCUUGCGUGCUUCACCUGAGCGAGGGCACGCUCGACGUCAUCACGCCGCUUCUGCUAUACGUGGGCUGCUUCACUCUCAGCCUGUAGGAGGCCGCCUACAUUCCCAGCUCCUACGACCCCAUCGAGGUCGCAAGCUUCUUUGCGCUCGGCGUGCAGAUGUGCGCGGCUUGUACCUGAUCGAGCGCUACAGCGUCCAGCGUGUGCCAGCCUAUGUACUGCGGGCGUCCGACUUCAUGGGCAGCGGCGACGCUUACAGCGGUAGCUUUAUCGGGGUCUGGCUCGUGGCUUGUCGGAGGUGGAGAGGUUCCGAAUGGGCUCCGUCGUCGGCACCCUCGUCGCGAGCGGCUUGGGCUCGGACGCCGGCGUGAUGAACUGGGGGAAGGUGUAGCAGUACACUGAGAAUUACGGCCCGAUGGAGUAAGUGGACGCAGCUGUUCGAGGGGAGGGGGCGAAGCGCGCGCAAGACCGACACGGCAAGAUGCGCGCUCUGUGGACCAUACAGGGAGACGUGUCGCACCCAUUCCCCGACGCAGCCGCGCCACUAGUUUGCUCCUUUUCCUCCCAAGCUCCACUCUGUCGUCUCUUGCGCCGGCGCACUCUGACGCGAACAUCCAGACGCAUACCCGCUGUAUCUACGUGUGUCCUUCUCCACACGGAACAGAGCCAGCGAGAGUGAAGCAGGGCAGGAUGCACACCCACGCACAUGCACGCACACGUACGCAUAAUAAGCGCGGAUGGGUGCGCCCUGCGCGCUUAUCGUUUUUGUUUGCUUCGCUCUUUCCUUUUGCGUCUUCCCUUUCAUUUGUGCCAAAUCCACUGCAGUGCGCCUCUGUGCUUCUAUCUCUCUGUGCGUGCGUGUGUGCCGUCGUGAACACGUGAGAGGACUGGCUUGACGGAGCUGAACGUGUGUGUCCUUCUCCUUGGUCAAGUCGGCUAAGCUUCCAAGGCAAUCGUGGUUUUUGUGCUCGUCGUGGAAGCAGAUGAGAUCGUCCCCUUCACUCGCUUGGGUGAUCGGCCACCCUCCGCUGCGGGCGCGCACGCAUGCGACCGAAGGCAGCGCC
This 1743-nucleotide unclassified non-coding RNA is filed under the name Leishmania donovani. RNAcentral describes it as "gene:unknown". Lineage: Eukaryota; Euglenozoa; Kinetoplastea; Trypanosomatida; Trypanosomatidae. The record is from RNAcentral.